CAAAGAAGUGGAGAAAACGUUUUGGCUCCUCUCUGAAUCUGUUGUCGCUACAUAAAUGGCAAUAAUAAUAAAGGCUCAGAGAGGAGCUGAAACAUUUUCUCCACUUCUUU
Non-coding RNA from Pelobates cultripes (western spadefoot toad), 110 nucleotides. Lineage: Eukaryota; Metazoa; Chordata; Amphibia; Anura; Pelobatidae. The record is from the annotation of a GenBank genome assembly.